UUAAGUCCCGCAACGAGCGCAACCCUUAUCCUUUGUUGCCAGCGAUUAGGUCGGGAACUCAAAGGAGACUGCCAGUGAUAAACUGGAGGAAGGUGGGGAUGACGUCAAGUCAUCAUGGCCCUUACGACCAGGGCUACACACGUGCUACAAUGGCGCAUACAAAGAGAAGCGACCUCGCGAGAGCAAGCGGACCUCAUAAAGUGCGUCGUAGUCCGGAUUGGAGUCUGCAACUCGACUCCAUGAAGUCGGAAUCGCUAGUAAUCGUGGAUCAGAAUGCCACGGUGAAUACGUUCCCGGGCCUUGUACACACCGCCCGUCACACCAUGGGAGUGGGUUGCAAAAGAAGUAGGUAGCUUAACCUUCGGGAGGGCGCUUACCACUUUGUGAUUCAUGACUGGGGUGAAGUCGUAACAAGGUAACCGUAGGGGAACCUGC
Molecule: ribosomal RNA, 435 nt
Filed under: Salmonella enterica
Lineage: Bacteria; Pseudomonadati; Pseudomonadota; Gammaproteobacteria; Enterobacterales; Enterobacteriaceae
Also listed under: 2 other names
Description: bacterial SSU rRNA
Rfam family: Bacterial small subunit ribosomal RNA
Source: RNAcentral